Molecule: ribosomal RNA, 497 nt
Filed under: uncultured bacterium
Lineage: Bacteria
Description: partial 16S ribosomal RNA
Rfam family: Bacterial small subunit ribosomal RNA
Source: RNAcentral
GAUGAACGCUGGCGGCGUGCCUAAUACAUGCAAGUCGAGCGAACAGACGAGGAGCUUGCUCCUCUGACGUUAGCGGCGGACGGGUGAGUAACACGUGGAUAACCUACCUAUAAGACUGGGAUAACUUCGGGAAACCGGAGCUAAUGCCGGAUAAUAUAUUGAACCGCAUGGUUCAAUAGUGAAAGACGGUUUUGCUGUCACUUAUAGAUGGAUCCGCGCCGCAUUAGCUAGUUGGUAAGGUAACGGCUUACCAAGGCAACGAUGCGUAGCCGACCUGAGAGGGUGAUCGGCCACACUGGAACUGAGACACGGUCCAGACUCCUACGGGAGGCAGCAGUAGGGAAUCUUCCGCAAUGGGCGAAAGCUUGACGGAGCAACGCCGAGUGAGUGAUGAAGGUCUUCGGAUCGUAAAACUCUGUUAUUAGGGAAGAACAAAUGUGUAAGUAACUAUGCACGUCUUGACGGUACCUAAUCAGAAAGCCACGGCUAACUACGUG